Molecule: ribosomal RNA, 404 nt
Filed under: uncultured bacterium
Lineage: Bacteria
Description: bacterial SSU rRNA
Rfam family: Bacterial small subunit ribosomal RNA
Source: RNAcentral
UGGGGAAUUUUGCGCAAUGGGGGAAACCCUGACGCAGCAACGCCGCGUGCGGGAUGACGGCCUUCGGGUUGUAAACCGCUUUCAGUAGGGACGAAUAAUGACGGUACCUACAGAAGAAGCCCCGGCUAACUACGUGCCAGCAGCCGCGGUAAUACGUAGGGGGCGAGCGUUAUCCGGAUUCAUUGGGCGUAAAGCGCGCGUAGGCGGUCUUUUAAGCGGGACCUCUAAUCUCAGGGCUCAACCUUGAGCCGGGUUCCGAACUAAAAGACUCGAGUGUGGUAGGGGAGAUCGGAAUUCCCGGUGUAGCGGUGGAAUGCGCAGAUAUCGGGAAGAACACCGAUGGCGAAGGCAGAUCUCUGGGCCAUUACUGACGCUGAGGCGCGAAAGCUAGGGGAGCAAACAGG